ACCGUCGAUGCUUUAAGUGCGGUUGAUGUCCAUU
Molecule: non-coding RNA, 34 nt
Filed under: Geotalea daltonii FRC-32
Lineage: Bacteria; Pseudomonadati; Thermodesulfobacteriota; Desulfuromonadia; Geobacterales; Geobacteraceae
Source: RNAcentral